Molecule: ribosomal RNA, 332 nt
Filed under: uncultured bacterium
Lineage: Bacteria
Description: bacterial SSU rRNA
Rfam family: Bacterial small subunit ribosomal RNA
Source: RNAcentral
CGCGUAGGCGGCUUGGUAAGGGGGCGGUGAAAGCCCGGGGCUCAACCCCGGGUCGGCCGGACCGACUGCCGAGCUCGAGCACACUAGGGGCAGGUGGAAUUCCGGGUGUAGCGGUGGAAUGCGUAGAGAUCCGGAAGAACACCGGUGGCGAAGGCGGCCUGCCGGGGUGUGGCUGACGCUGAGGCGCGACAGCGUGGGGAGCAAACAGGAUUAGAUACCCUGGUAGUCCACGCCGUAAACGAUGGGCACUAGGUGCUCGGGGGAGCGACCCCUUGGGUGCCGGCGCUAACGCAUUAAGUGCCCCGCCUGGGGAGUACGGCCGCAAGGCUGAA